RNAcentral lists this ribosomal RNA (311 nucleotides) under Tisbe environmental sample. RNAcentral describes it as "SSU rRNA". It matches the Rfam family "Eukaryotic small subunit ribosomal RNA", at positions 595 to 906 of the family's 1831-position model. The record is from RNAcentral. Lineage: Eukaryota; Metazoa; Arthropoda; Copepoda; Harpacticoida; Tisbidae.
UAGCGUAUAUUAAAGUUGUUGCGGUUAAAAAGCUCGUAGUUGGAUCUCGGCGGGGAGGGUGCGGUUCAUUAUCUGAUGCUACUGCUCCAUUUCCCCGUGUUUUUGACGGAGGUUUCAGGGUGCUCUUAACCGAGUGCUCUGGGAUGCCGUCAGGUUUACUUUGAAAAAAUUAGAGUGCUCAAAGCAGGCUUUACACGCUUGAAUAUUCGUGCAUGGAAUAAUGGAAUAGGACGUCGCUUCUAUUUUGUUGGUUUUCGGAAAUCGACGUAAUGAUUAAUAGGGACAGUCGGGGGCAUUAGUAUUCAGACGAC